RNAcentral lists this long non-coding RNA (1877 nucleotides) under Homo sapiens (human). RNAcentral's name for it is "HSALNT0347947". The record is from RNAcentral. Lineage: Eukaryota; Metazoa; Chordata; Mammalia; Primates; Hominidae.
CGUGGCCUGAUGUCUCUGACAUCUGUUUUGGGUUCUCAGCCUCAGCUGGCCCCACUGCCCUUUCUCCUGCGAUGACUCACAGGCCCCAUUCAGGCCACCGAGUGGCAGGUAUAGAGUGUCUCACCUCGGAGUACUGGGGAUGAGGGGUGAGCGUCCGGGCAGCAGGCGAGCCCCCAAGGCUGGCCCGCUGACACCGCUGGCGGCAAAAAUUUCUACGGCAGUUUCUCUUGAACCAGGCAGAAAACAACCCCUGAGGCUGCUCGGUGCUCCCUAGUCUCCUGGUUUGCAUUGCACAUCCAUUUUGAGCCUGCUGCUACUGAUGAGAAAAUGACCUCAAACAACUGCCCACUAAAGGUCCCAUGUUGUGACGAUGCCGGGGGCUUUCUGCAUAGCGCUCCGCUUCUCAGACUGAGCAGCUUCUGGAGUUUUGUACAAUGCCUGGGCCUGAGGAAACCUGCCAGGAUAUUCCUGGUAGGAUGAAUGAUCACCCCCCCGUAACAGACAGAGACACCCAGAGCAGAGACAGAGUUCACACUGUGGGAUCUGACUCAAUGUUUGAAUUCUUAGGAGCUCACCACUUCAUUGGAUUUCUCAUGACUGAAAAAAAGAGACCACUAGAAUCUGGAUGAGAUGAGAAUUUAGGUGCUGUUUUAGAUUCCCCUAGAUUAGGUGGAUACCCAAAAGAGUGUGUGGAAAAACUGCAGGGAGGGCCGGGCGCGGUGGCUCAUCCCUGUAAUCCCAGCACUUCAGGAGGACGAGGCAGGCGGAUCAUCUGAGGUCAGGAGUUCGAGACCAGCCUGACCAACAUGGAGAAACCCUAUCUCUACUAAAAAUACAAAAGUACCCGGGCAUGGUGGCACAUGCCUGUAAUCCCAGCUACUCUGGAAGGCUGAGGCAGGAGAAUCGCUUGAACCCAGGAGGUGGAGGUUGCAGUGAGCCAAGAUCGCACCACUGCACUCCAGCCUGGGCAACAAGAGUGAAACUUGGUCUCAAAAAAAAAAAAAAAAAAAAAAACCUGCAGGGAGUCUGAGUCCUCUGAAAUGGGAUGAAAAAUUUAUAUGUAAAAAUUGUGUAUAUUUCCUCCAGCCCCAGGAAGAGAGCCCUGUGUAUUCUGUUGGACAGAUCUGCUGAUUUUCAAGUUUCCAAGACUCCUCCAGACUUAAGAAGUACUGUUUUAUAUUAAAUAUUUUGCAAAGAUGGUUCCAGCUUCCUACCCUUCCAGUUAAAAUAAACAAAAACGAGGGUCUUGAGUGUCUAUGAUUUUCAUAAGAUCUAUGGCGUUUCUUCUGCAGAUGAUCAACAGUUGCCUGCCUUGGACUUUGGAGUUCCCAAGAACUAGAAAAUCCAGGUCAGGAACUGUAUCUUUGCUCAGCCACCUGCAAACAGACUUGAGAACAAUGUAAACCACCCUCUGCAGGAUAUUGAUUCUGAUGGAGUAAAUGUUGAUUAAGCAGAAUGGUGUUUUUUUUUUUAACUGGAGGAAUUCCAGAUCUUUCCUUAGGCCUGUCUCUCCAGGGAAAUGAGCUCUAGCCUUAAAAAUCUACAGAAAACCUGAGUAAGAAUGAAGAUUUAUGAUGGGAGACGCUGGGCGGAAGACGGCUGGCUAUCUGGUGGGCUAUCUAGAAGCUCAUCUUUGUGUUAUUAGAGAAACACUCCCGCUCUUGACAGGAUAUGGUCUGCUUAUCACAUAAUCUUCUCAAGUUUCAUUCCCAUUCUGCUUACAAAUGCCCCAAAUAUAAAGAGAUGCAUUUCAUCAAGACAGCCUUUUAAGAGGCAGUUGAUCCCAGCUGUUGCCGUCUAUCUUAAACACCUACCUUUUCACCCUAGUGUGGAGUUUACAUGUCGAUAAGCGAUGUAAAAAAGGGAACUUGAGAAAU